Molecule: long non-coding RNA, 3039 nt
Filed under: Sus scrofa (pig)
Lineage: Eukaryota; Metazoa; Chordata; Mammalia; Artiodactyla; Suidae
Description: lncRNA (ENSSSCG00000062753.1)
Source: RNAcentral
AAUGGAUAAAGAAGAUAUGGUAUUUAUUCAAUGGAAUAUUACUCAGCGAUAAAAAAGAAUGAAAUACCAUUUGCAGCAACAUGGACGGACCUAGAGAUUAUCCCACUUAAAUGAGAAAGAGAAAGACAAAUUCCUUAUGAUAUCACUUAUACAUGGAAUCGAAAAUAUGACACAAACAAACUUAUUUGCAAAACAGAAACAUACUGAUAUAUACAGAAAACAAACUUAUGGUUACCAAAAGGGAAAGGAAGUUGAGGAGGGAUAAAUUAGGGAGUUUGGAAUUAGCAGAUACAAGCUUAUAUAUAAAAGAGAUAAACAGUAAGGUCUUAACGUAUAACACAGGGGACUACAUUCAAUAUCCUAGAUUAAACCAUAAUGGAAAAGAAAGUGAAAAAGAACGUAUGUAUAACUGAAUCACUUUGUUGUACACCAGAAAGUAACACACUAGAAAUUAAUUACACUUCAAGUCUAAAAGAUUUUUUUUAAAAAAAAAAUGUUACUAGAGCUGUUCCAAGUCCUUGCCCAGAAACUUCUAACCCCCACUUCUACCAGGAGUGAACAGAAAUCUUAAGUUAAAGGGUCCAAAGAUAAGAAAGGAAGCUACCAAAACCAAAAUAAAACAAAUAAAACACACACACACACACAAGGCACCUCAGAUGGAACCAGCUGGGACCAAGAUGGAGAUGAACCUGACCGGCGACAGCUGAGCCUCAUUAUACAUUUUUUUUUACUCUGUUAGCAUAUUGGAUAACACUUACCAGGGACCAUGAACAGACAUUAAGGAUGAAUAAGGGAUAAAAAGGGGGUGGUACCCCACCCCCAGGAAAAGGCCCUGCCGCUUCCCCAGCAGACUGAUGUAUAAGCUUCCCCAUCAUUAACCUCACUCUUCCUCCCUUUGUCUUUACUCUUUAAAAUCUAACCCCUCUUGCCGAGUGGGUGAGAAGUUGACUGUGAAAUUAGUUCCCGCUUUUCCUUUCUUUGGCCAUUGAAAAAAGCUUGCGCUGUGUCAAUCUCAGCUUUGGUUUCAUUACUGGCUGCCCCAACCAGAACAGAAAAAGAAACUCCCCCUGCCAAGACAGAGAGCCUCAGCCACCAAGUGGGGGCCAUAUGACUUAAUUUGGUAACAGAAGGAACCACAACACAAUGGGUCUGAGGAGGGGAGCCAUGAUUUAAUCAAACCCCAUACCUCCCAGAUGGACAACCCAUAAACUGGAGAAUAAUUGUAUUGCAAAGAUUCUCCCACAGGAGUGAGAGUUCUGAGUCCCACAUCAGGCUCCCCAGCCCGGGGUCCGGCCCUGUGAAUAUAAGUCUCCAAAGCAUUUGGCUUUGAAGGCCCUGAGCGGGGUGGGGGCAGUAACUGCAGGAGCUGCACAGGCCUGGGGGAAACAGAGACUCCACUCUUAACAGGCACACAAAAUCCCACACGCAGCAGGACGCAGGGCAAAGCAGUAAUCUGAUAGAAGCGUGGGCCAGACCUACCUGCUGGUCUUGGAGAGUCUCCUGGAGAGGCCGCUCUGGCUUGCCCUGGGGACACAGCAGUGGCAGCAGCCUUUCCUAUGAGCUGCUUCUACAGCCUGGAUGUGAAUCCAGGGCUGGCGGGCGCCAUUUUGAAAAUCUCCCUCCAGCUCAUUAGCCCAACAGCCUGCAGGUGCUGGGAUGCUUCAGGCCAAACAACUAAGUGGGUGGGGACACUGGCCCAGACAUCGGCAGGCAGGCUGCCUAACAGCCUCUAGAGCCCACAAUUGCCUCUAGACAAAGUCUGUACAGGGCCCUACCCACCAGAGAGCCAGGAUUGAGCUCUACCCACCAGGAGGCAGGCACCAGCCUUUCCCACCAGGGAGCCUGCACAGGUUUCUAGACCAGCCUCAGCCACCGAUGGGUAGAUACCAGCCACUGAGCCCACCGCUGGCAAGAUAGGCCCUACCCUGGGACAGCUGGGCCCUGGCCCUGCCCACUAGCAGGCCAAUGCAAACUUUGGGAUACCCAGGAUCCUAUCUCCAUCUGCCAGGAACUGGUACCCAUCUCCCCCCUCCACCCCCCGCACCAAUCUAAAACAAGCUCUGAGAUCCCUGGAUCCUGCAGCCAGACUCCAGGAACCAGCUCUGCCUGCCAGUAGCCCAGCACUAGCCCCAGAAUAUUCAGGACGCUGGCUCCACCCACCAGUGAGUCAGCACCAGCCCCAAGGUCCCCAGAAUUCCAGAACAGCCAUGUUAUAACCAGGCCCCACUAUACAGCAGCCAGCAGCAUCCACACAAGGCAGAGCGUGGCAACCAAACAGACCAGGCACCCACCAAGCCUACCAGACCACCCACAUGGUCAGCCUGCUACAAUGGAAGGACCCACGCCACCCUCUUAGGGGGAUUCCCUACAGCAUAUAGCUUAGGUGACAAGAGGGGAGUGCACCAUUGGGACACAUAGGACACCUCCUACAGAGGCUACUUCUCCAAGAUCAGGAAACAUAACUAACCUGCCACAGACAUAAAAAAUACAAAUAGCAACGGAGACAGAACGAGGGGGCAGAGGAACAUGUUCCACAUGAAGGAACAAGAUAAAGCUCCAGAAGAACUAACUGAAGUGGAGACUGGCAAUCUACCCCAAAGAGUUCAGAGUAAUGAUUGUAAAGAUGAUCAAAGAACUCAGGAGAACAGAUGCAGAGAGUGAGGAGUUAGAAGUUUUUAACAGAGUUAGAAAAUAAAAGAGAACAGAGAUGGAGAAUACAAAUCUGAAAUGAAAAAAAAAAAUACACUAGAAGAAAUCAAAAGUAAACUAAAAUCAAAAUCAAAAGUAAAAGUGAUUGAGAAGAAUGGACAAAUAAGCUGGAAGACAGACCCAUGGAAAUCAUUGCCAAGGAAUAGAAGAAAAAAAAAGAAUGAAAAGAGGACUUCCUGCUGUGGUGCACUGAGUUAAUGACCCAGCUUGUCUCUGUGGCGGUGCAGGUUCCAUCCCCAGCCUGGCUGGUUUAAGGAUCUGGCACGGCUGUGGCUCAGCUUCGAUCCCCGGCCCAGGAACUUCCAUAUGCCAUGAGUGCAGCAGCAACAA